RNAcentral lists this long non-coding RNA (230 nucleotides) under Elaeis guineensis (African oil palm). Its description in RNAcentral is "long non-coding RNA (EGUI_LNC076533)". Lineage: Eukaryota; Viridiplantae; Streptophyta; Magnoliopsida; Arecales; Arecaceae. The record is from RNAcentral.
AUGAGGGAUUCUGGAAUCAACGGUUAGCUUAAUAAGAUCCUCCAAAGUGUUGAAAUAAAGAUCAGAUAAGUGCUCAGCCUGUAAGAUCUCCCAGAUCCCUGUAAUACGAGGAUAGAAAAGUAAGCAGUGCUCAAAACCCUCAAUGGCAUCUUGGCAAGGAGCACACAGAGGUUGUUGAUAAGGGAGGAAGCCCCAUUCAUGCAAAAGAACCUUGCUCGGGAGACACCCCC